AUCAGAAAAUCGACUGGGAGCAGU
This 24-nucleotide non-coding RNA is filed under the name Arabidopsis thaliana (thale cress). Lineage: Eukaryota; Viridiplantae; Streptophyta; Magnoliopsida; Brassicales; Brassicaceae. The record is from RNAcentral.